This 425-nucleotide ribosomal RNA is filed under the name uncultured bacterium. RNAcentral's name for it is "partial 16S ribosomal RNA". It matches the Rfam family "Bacterial small subunit ribosomal RNA", at positions 354 to 796 of the family's 1533-position model. The record is from RNAcentral.
GUGGGGAAUAUUGGACAAUGGGCGAAAGCCUGAUCCAGCAAUGCCGCGUGAGUGAUGAAGGCCUUAGGGUUGUAAAGCUCUUUUACCAGGGAUGAUAAUGACAGUACCUGGAGAAUAAGCUCCGGCUAACUCCGUGCCAGCAGCCGCGGUAAUACGGAGGGAGCUAGCGUUGUUCGGAAUUACUGGGCGUAAAGCGCACGUAGGCGGCUACUCAAGUCAGAGGUGAAAGCCCGGGGCUCAACCCCGGAACUGCCUUUGAAACUAGGUAGCUAGAAUCUUGGAGAGGUCAGUGGAAUUCCGAGUGUAGAGGUGAAAUUCGUAGAUAUUCGGAAGAACACCAGUGGCGAAGGCGACUCACUGGCCCAAUACUGACGCUGAGGCGCGAAAGCGUGGGGAGCAAACAGGAUUAGAUACCCGUGUAGUCC